RNAcentral lists this long non-coding RNA (302 nucleotides) under Elaeis guineensis (African oil palm). RNAcentral describes it as "long non-coding RNA (EGUI_LNC060366)". Lineage: Eukaryota; Viridiplantae; Streptophyta; Magnoliopsida; Arecales; Arecaceae. The record is from RNAcentral.
AUAUAAUUCAUCUCCUUGACCAAAAUACUCAUAGGAUAUCUCAGAGUUCAACUGUCAACUCUGAUCAGGUUGUCCACAUUGUAUUUCAAAAUAUCAAAUCCAUCUGAUGGAUUACCCUGGCCAAGGUUUUGCUAAAUUGAAAUAUAGUGACUCAUUCUUCUCCAACUCUUGGAGUGGUCAAUCUCAUUUUGAUCACACUCCAACUUUAUAAGUACUUGACUGUGCCCAGAAGCCUUCCAUCACUGAAUUAAAAAUUCAGUUAGUCCAGUACCAAAGCACAGUGAGUUGCUUGCAAGUCACUG